RNAcentral lists this long non-coding RNA (795 nucleotides) under Gallus gallus (chicken). Its description in RNAcentral is "long non-coding RNA NONGGAT008681". The record is from RNAcentral. Lineage: Eukaryota; Metazoa; Chordata; Aves; Galliformes; Phasianidae.
CCGCACUUCCGGACAGGGAGGGGUCACGCGGUGCCGCGCCGCGCCGCUUCCAUCCGGGGCCUCAGAGACGCCACGCCCCUCACCCCCUCCCAACCCCCCCGCGGCGCGGGGCGGGGCGCGAGGCGGCCGUUGGGACGGGGGUGGCGGGAGCGGCGUCCUGGCUGUGUGGAGCGCUGCAGUGAGGGGACGCGGUGCAGCGCACCGGGUUGCAGCAGCCCAAGGGGCCGUGGCGUGAAGCAGGCACCCUGUGACCGUCCCAGGCUUGGAGCUUCCCGGGACUUCUUUUUUUUUUGUCGGUUCGUUUAUUUCCAGUUGAAGUUCACCUGAAAAUGACACUCGAGAAAGUCUGCAGGGGUGGAUCAUUAACAGAAGCUGUGAAGAACGCAUGCAUAUUUGUCAGCAGACAAAAGAGUGCACCACGCAGCGUCUUGCACCACGUUAAGGUGAAAUACUGUCAAGUCUGUACGCAUCAUCGUUUGCAUUACAGCAGCACUUAGUAGGUCAAUUGAGAUAAGUGGCCCUUUACGCCAGACGUUUUACAAAACAUGAGACAAAGGGAGAGUUUAAAUUGUAAUUACAAAGGACAGAAAACGGUAAAUAAAAACAAGACAGAAUGAAAUGAUCAACUACACUUCAAGAACAAAGAUCCCAGCAGAGACCAGAGGGGAAACUCAACUUCCCUGAAUCCAGAGUGAGAGUGUUGCCACUGCGCUGAGAUGCUGCCGUCCUUCUCUGAAGUUCUCCUGUUCCUCUGUGGACCUCUUCUUGAGCGUGGACUUCUUUAAUCACCGUGCC